Molecule: long non-coding RNA, 243 nt
Filed under: Elaeis guineensis (African oil palm)
Lineage: Eukaryota; Viridiplantae; Streptophyta; Magnoliopsida; Arecales; Arecaceae
Description: long non-coding RNA (EGUI_LNC011959)
Source: RNAcentral
GAUCUAUCAUCCCCUCUGGCUUUUCCUUCAAAGUUAGAUUCAGUUCCUGCUGAACCAACAGAUCUUCGACCCUUAUCCUCCAUAUCGAGAAAAUUUUCUUUCCAUCAAACUUGUCAACAUUAGUCUUCGAUCCGUUGCUCAUGAUAUCUCAACACCACAACCAUAAAUCAUGCAGAUCUGACUGAGAAAAAAUAUCUUUAAUAGAAAACUUUAGAUCCUGGCAUCUCCUUCCUUCUCCAUGCU